Molecule: ribosomal RNA, 230 nt
Filed under: uncultured bacterium
Lineage: Bacteria
Description: partial 16S ribosomal RNA
Rfam family: Bacterial small subunit ribosomal RNA
Source: RNAcentral
UGAGUAACCUGCCCUGGACUUUGGGAUAACCCUCGGAAACGGGGGCUAAUACCGGAUAUGACAUGCUCUCGCAUGGGGGUGUGUGGAAAGUUUUUCGGUCUGGGAUGGGCUCGCGGCCUAUCAGCUUGUUGGUGGGGUGAUGGCCUACCAGGCGACGACGGGUAGCCGGCCUGAGAGGGUGUCCGGCCACACUGGGACUGAGAUACGGCCCAGACUCCGUACGGGAGGCA